This 404-nucleotide ribosomal RNA is filed under the name uncultured bacterium. Its description in RNAcentral is "partial 16S ribosomal RNA". It matches the Rfam family "Bacterial small subunit ribosomal RNA", at positions 28 to 526 of the family's 1533-position model. The record is from RNAcentral.
GACGAACGCUGGCGGCGUGCUUAACACAUGCAAGUCGAGCGGAGCGGCGAACGGGUGAGUAACGCGUGAGUAACUGGCCCCCUCUCUGGGAUAACAGUUGGAAACGGCUGCUAAUACCGGAUAGUGGGGGAUGACUCGCGUGCUAUCAGCUUGUUGGUGGGGUAGUGGCUUACCAAGGCGACGACGGGUAGCCGGCCUGGGAGGUGGACCGGCAACAAUGGGCUGAGAUAGGGACCAAAGUGGAACGGGGGGCAGCGGGCGGGAAUCUUGCACAAUGGGGGCGACCCGGAUGCAGAAACGCGCGUGCGGGAUGACGGUCUUCGGGGUGGAAACCGCUUUCAGCCAUGACGCGGUAGUGGCAGAAGAAGCACCGGCUAACUACGUGCCAGCAGCCGCGGUAAUAC